CACACACACACCCACACACUUGUCGAGCUUGGGGCUUAUCCUCAAGCUGGGGGUAGCUUUGUUAGUGCUGAGUCGAAUGGAAGACUCGAGAGUUUUCUUUCCGGCCUUUCCAUGAAUAAUGUGGCCCUAGUCCAAGGCCUUUGGCCCAUGUCAGCCUGGGGAAAUCUCUGAGCUCACUCAGAUUUUCAGAAUCCAAGCUGCUUCCUGCUGGGCCACGGUCCAGCUCAUUGCUCCUCCAGGAAGCCAAAUCUGCCUGGGACUCCUUCAGCCUUCCAUCUCCUCUGGCACGGUCGACGUGGCAGCCACCUCCUGGCUGUAUGGUCUCGAUUAGUCAUUCCACCUUGGCUCCAUCUCCCUUCUAGUAACUUUCCACCCACAUGAUCGCCCCCCCUCCCCACCUCCCGCACCUUCCUGAGUCUGGCCGACCUGGGAGCACAUGCUCACUCGCUCACUCGUUCCUUCACUAUCACUCCAGCCGCUGGAACACGCACCCACUCACGAAGCUCAGCAGUGCUGAUGAAAUGUUCUCCCCGAGGAACCCCUAGGGAGAAAGUGUUUUCAUCUCCCAAGGGUUUCGGGGUAUCUGCCUGAUGCAGCCUCUGCAGUCGCCGGUGGUCAUCAGCGCCAAAUUUGGCCAGAAAAAACACAUCAAGUAAGAUAAGAACUGACAGGGGCCAUUGGAUUUAGUCAUUAAGGGGUCACUGGUAACCGUAGUGAGCACGAUUUCCAGAGGAGGGAAUGGAAAGGAAGUGGAGACGGGGUGGGUGCUGAAAGGAGGGGCAUGGGACGAUGGAACUGGAGAGAUCUUAUGAGAAUGUGGCAUCUGCAGAGGCCUCUGAAGGAGACUUUGACAGGCAGAGAUAGAUAGGCGUGGGGGCAGACUGGUGAGGUCAUUCUGGGUGAAGGGAAUGUCAUGAGCAGGAAAUCAGGAGGCAUGCGCAGCUUAUCUGGCCUUGGAGUAAGUCCCCUCCGCCCUUCUGCAAUGUGGGUGGUGGGGUGGACGUUGCAGCGGUAUCCUCCAAGGAAUUUUCCAGCUUUGGGUUUUUUUGGUUUACCAUGGCCUGGGACUGGUGACAGGGUUAGGCCUUGGGGGCUGGGGGUUUGGGAGCUGUUGGGGCAGCUUCAGGAGGGCGUCAGCAGCCCUGGCUAAACUCCUUCUAUAGAGAGGAAGGGGCAGGGCCAGGCCCUGAGUGGGUUUAGCCCUGCCUUCAGAGCCUGUUUCCUGGGAAGAAUAUGCCGUCUGCUUGGAGAGUGUGGUCUAGACUCUACAGCAGUGGUUCUUAGAGUAUGCUGUCCACACCAGCAGCACCCGCAGCAUCUGGAAAGGCCAGACUCUCAGGUGUGCCCCAGAUCUGCUGAAUCUGAAACUGGGGGUGGGGCUCAGAAUGUGCAUUUCUGACAAAUACUCAGGUGCUGCUGCUGGUCAGGGAGCAGCCUUUGGGAAGCACUGGCUUAGAGGCGCUGUACUUUCCUUUUGCCAUGAGUAAGGGUGAACUCUGGCACUAGCAGGACCGGCCUGCUCUGAGUUCCCAGAGUGGUGGUCAGGGCUUACUCGAGGCUGCUACACCCUGGCUGAGGCUCUCCCUGGGAGGGGGUGCCUCUCCUGAAGACAAAGAAGUGAGGUUCCAGGACUGGCACUAGGGCAAACCUCCUCAGGGUCAUGGCAGGUCCUUGGCAACCUGCUUAGUGGCCAAGGAGGUACUCUGUCUCUUUGCAGGUGUGUAACCUUGGGCAGGUAACCAACAUCUCACGGCCUCAGUGUCCCCACCGUGAAGUGGAUUUACAUGGACCUCAGUUGCUUUGAGGAUCUGUCACCAGGGAGCCCUGAAUCGCUAGGUGCCAAGCAUCCAUCUCAGUCCUUACUGAGUUCUCUGAUGCAUCUGGGACAGCUGAUGGACCAUCCCUUCUAGAAAAGCUGCCCUCAAUUUCCAUCGCACCCCUUCCUGGAAGUCCUUCAACCACUCUGUUUCUUCUUUGUCUCCACCACGCACUCCUCCUCCUUCUCUCACCCUUCAGGGAUGCUGACCCCAGGGCCCUGUCCUCAGCCACUGCUCUUCUCUUCCAGGGUAGUUUCCUCAGUGAACUGCAUCUGCCCCGUGGCUUCAACCUGCACUCAACCGAGCCCUGGCCCAGACCUCUCCUCAGAGCUGCUGGCCUUUCUUUACAUCGGCCCAGUCCACAGUCCACUUGGAUGUUCCACAGGCAUCUCAAACCCAGCAAGUUUGAGAUCACCUGCGCUGAUGAGGUUCCCGCAAAGCUCUCCUGUGCCCGUGCUCCCCUCCCUUGAGAAGUGUCCACCUCUUAUAGAAAAUUAUAGGAGAAGGUGAGAAAUUAGAAAUGGAGAAAGAAGAAAACAAAGUUUCCACAGUCCCAGCACACAGAAGCAACUACCUUGACUAUUGGGGUGUAUGCCUCCCAGCCUUCCUUCUAUGCUUUUAAUAUUCCAUUUUCCCCACUUAACAUUCUAGCAUAAGAAUGUUCCCAUGUUAUUACGAAUUCUGCAUAACUUAUUAUUUUAAAGCUAUUUGGAACAGAUAGCACAUUCCAACUGUACAAAAGGGGAUUUGGUAAAAAGUAAAUCUCCCUCCCACCCCUGACCCCCGAGUCAUCCAGUUCCUUUCCCUAAGCAGCUGCCAUUCCUGGUCAUUUGCAUAUCUGUCUAAGGAUAUCUGUGCCCACACAAGAGCACCUGCAAUGCCACCCACACCUUUUUUACUCAUAAAUUAGCACACCAUGCACCCUGUUCUACACCUUCUCUUUUUUCAUUUA
This is a non-coding RNA of Kogia breviceps (pygmy sperm whale), 2769 nucleotides long. Lineage: Eukaryota; Metazoa; Chordata; Mammalia; Artiodactyla; Physeteridae. The record is from RefSeq and is a predicted model, not a curated record.